UCACAUCAGACGACUUUCUCAGCAUUUGAACCGUCAUACUCAUUACCAAAAAACGUCGCAUUACUCACGCUCCAGGAGUUGGAAAAUGGGAAAGUUCUUUUAAGGCUUGCUCACUUAUUCGAGGUUCUUACUUGUCCUCUCUCUAUAUGUUUCCACCAUUAAUUUGUUAUGGCUAUGUGCUUUUUGGUUGUGGAAAUGUAGUUU
Non-coding RNA from Camelina sativa (false flax), 204 nucleotides. The record is from RefSeq and is a predicted model, not a curated record. NCBI's taxonomy places the organism in Eukaryota, Viridiplantae, Streptophyta, Magnoliopsida, Brassicales, Brassicaceae.